This 253-nucleotide ribosomal RNA is filed under the name uncultured bacterium. RNAcentral's name for it is "partial 16S ribosomal RNA". It matches the Rfam family "Bacterial small subunit ribosomal RNA", at positions 524 to 776 of the family's 1533-position model. The record is from RNAcentral.
UACGUAGGGUGCAAGCGUUGUCCGGAAUUAUUGGGCGUAAAGAGCUCGUAGGCGGUUUGUUGCGUCGGCUGUGAAAUCCCGAGGCUCAACCUCGGGUCUGCAGUCGAUACGAGCAAACUAGAGUGUUGCAGGGGAGACUGGAAUUCCUGGUGUAGCGGUGAAAUGCGCAGAUAUCAGGAGGAACACCUGCGGCGAAGGCGGGUUGCUGGGCUGACACUGACGCUGAACUGCGAAAGCUAGGGGAGCGAACGGG